GACGAACGCUGGCGGCGUGCUUAACACAUGCAAGUCGAACGGAAAGGCCCUGCUUUUUUGGGGUUCUCGAGUGGCGAACGGGUGAGUAACACGUGAGUAACCUGCCCUUGACUUUGGGAUAACUUCAGGAAACUGGGGUUAAUACCGGAUAGGAGCUCCUGUUGCAUGGAGGGGGGUGGAAAGUUUCGGCGGUUGGGGAUGGACUCGCGGCUUAUCAGCUUGUUGGUGGGGUAGUGGCUUACCAAGGCUUUGACGGGUCGCCGGCCUGAGAGGGUGACCGGCCACCUUAGGACUGAGAUACGGACCAGACUCCUACGUGAGGCAGCAGUGGGGAAUAUUGCACAAUGGGCGGAAGCCUGAUGCAGCAACGCCGCGUGCGGGAUGACGGCCUUCGGGUUGUAAACCGCUUUCGCCUGUGACGAAGCGUGACUGACGGUAAUGGGUAAAGAAGCACCGGCUAACUACGUG
This 468-nucleotide ribosomal RNA is filed under the name uncultured bacterium. Its description in RNAcentral is "partial 16S ribosomal RNA". It matches the Rfam family "Bacterial small subunit ribosomal RNA", at positions 28 to 507 of the family's 1533-position model. The record is from RNAcentral.